UACGUAGGGGGCAAGCGUUGUCCGGAUUUAUUGGGCGUAAAGAGCUCGUAGGCGGUUUGGGAAGUCAGGUGUGAAAUCUCCACGCUCAACGUGGAGGGGCCACCUGAUACUGCCAUGACUGGAGUCCGGUAGAGGAGUGUGGAAUUCCCGGUGUAGCGGUGAAAUGCGCAGAUAUCAGGAGGAACACCAAUGGCGAAGGCAGCACUCUGGGACGUGACUGACGCUGAGACGCGAAAGCGUGGGGAGCAAACAGG
RNAcentral lists this ribosomal RNA (254 nucleotides) under uncultured bacterium. RNAcentral's name for it is "partial 16S ribosomal RNA". It matches the Rfam family "Bacterial small subunit ribosomal RNA", at positions 524 to 776 of the family's 1533-position model. The record is from RNAcentral.